GACGAACGCUGGCGGCGUGCUUAACACAUGCAAGUCGAACGAUGAACCCGGAGCUUGCUCUGGGGGAUUAGUGGCGAACGGGUGAGUAACACGUGAGUAACCUGCCCUGGACUCUGGGAUAAGCGUUGGAAACGACGUCUAAUACCGGAUAGGACCUUGGAUCGCAUGAUCUGGGGUGGAAAGUUUUUUCGGUCUGGGAUGGACUCGCGGCCUAUCAGCUUGUUGGUGAGGUAAUGGCUCACCAAGGCGUCGACGGGUAGCCGGCCUGAGAGGGUGACCGGCCACACUGGGACUGAGACACGGCCCAGACUCCGACGGGAGGCAGCAGUGGGGAAUAUUGCACAAUGGGCGAAAGCCUGAUGCAGCAACGCCGCGUGCGGGAUGACGGCCGUCGGGUUGUAAACCGCUUUUAGUAGGGAAGAAGGGCUUCGGCUUGACGGUACCUGCAGAAAAAGAACCGGCUAACUACGUG
Molecule: ribosomal RNA, 472 nt
Filed under: uncultured bacterium
Lineage: Bacteria
Description: partial 16S ribosomal RNA
Rfam family: Bacterial small subunit ribosomal RNA
Source: RNAcentral